GACGAACGCUGGCGGCGUGCCUAACACAUGCAAGUCGAGCGGAGGUACAAUGAGAGCAAUCGAGAUGUACUUUAGCGGCGGACGGGUGAGUAACGCGUGAGCAACCUGCCUAUCACAGGGGGAUAAGGCGGCGAAAGCCGCUCUAAUACCGCAUGAGACCCUCAAAGCGAUGCAAUGGGGGUAAAGGAGCGAUCCGGUGAGAGAUGGGCUCGCGUCCGAUUAGGUAGUUGGUAGGUAAGGCCUGCCAAGCCAAUGAUCGGUAGCCGGCCUGAGAGGGUGAACGGCCACAUUGGAACUGAGAGACGGUCCAAACUCCUACGGGAGGCAGCAGUGGGGAAUAUUGGGCAAUGGGCGGAAGCCUGACCCAGCAACGCCGCGUGAGGGAAGACGGCCUUAAUGGGUUGUAAACUUCUUUACUAACGCGAAUAGAGGUUAGUACGAGAUACUAAUAGGAAGGUAGUGUAGUAAAAAGCACCGGCUAACUCCGUGCCAGCAGACCGCGU
RNAcentral lists this ribosomal RNA (503 nucleotides) under uncultured bacterium. Its description in RNAcentral is "bacterial SSU rRNA". It matches the Rfam family "Bacterial small subunit ribosomal RNA", at positions 28 to 520 of the family's 1533-position model. The record is from RNAcentral.